This 497-nucleotide ribosomal RNA is filed under the name uncultured bacterium. Its description in RNAcentral is "partial 16S ribosomal RNA". It matches the Rfam family "Bacterial small subunit ribosomal RNA", at positions 28 to 507 of the family's 1533-position model. The record is from RNAcentral.
GAUGAACGCUGGCGGCGUGCCUAAUACAUGCAAGUCGAGCGAACAGAUGAGGAGCUUGCUCCUCUGACGUUAGCGGCGGACGGGUGAGUAACACGUGGAUAACCUACCUAUAAGACUGGGAUAACUUCGGGAAACCGGAGCUAAUACCGGAUAAUAUAUUGAACCGCAUGGUUCAAUAGUGAAAGACGGUUUUGCUGUCACUUAUAGAUGGAUCCGCGCCGCAUUAGCUAGUUGGUAAGGUAACGGCUUACCAAGGCAACGAUGCGUAGCCGACCUGAGAGGUGGAUCGGCCACACUGGAACUGAGACACGGUCCAGACUCCUACGGGAGGCAGCAGUAGGGAAUCUUCCGCAAUGGGCGAAAGCUUGACGGAGCAACGCCGCGUGAGUGAUGAAGGUCUUCGGAUCGUAAAACUCUGUUAUUAGGGAAGAACAAAUGUGUAAGUAACUAUGCACGUCUUGACGGUACCUAAUCAGAAAGCCACGGCUAACUACGUG